GAGCUUCUGUGCCUGCGAUAUAUGCAGAAUAUUUCCUCAGUAUGCAUUCAGUGUCAUGCUGUGUAGACUCCUGAUUCUAGCACAAUAGGCCACUCCGUUUUCUUGAUACACAAAUGGUACCUGUGAAACAAAGGAGUAUGCCUCCAAGGGAAACCCAUCCUUUUUUCUUGUUCCUUCUAAAAUAGUCGAUGAUGUAUUUCAUAUUGAAUGCCCUGAGAGCACCGGUAUCAUACUUUAUCAGGUUGUAUAACCCAACGCCUGCAAUGAGGAGCAGCCAGAGGAGGAUGAUCGGCGCAAACAAGUAACCGACUCUGUCUGUCCCGAACCUCUGGAUUGCGAACAGCACCACCAAAAUUCCCACGGCCGGGCCACAUAUUAAUUGCUAACGGCAACAGUUCACUCUAUGUCUUCAGUUCCAAAGAUGGCCGGCAGGAGUCAGAAUAGCGUCGCUGAUAACCAUGGCGGUGGCGAGCAUGGUGAUGAGGAAGAGCGAGAUCUUUACAGUCUUGUUCGUCUCGAGCAGCUCCUUCAUCCACUCCGCUCUCUGCAGCGUCGCCGGCGGUUUGUCGCGGUUGUACUUGGAGACGAGCUCGUCUUCAACCUGCUGGUUCGGGAUCAGGCUCACCCUGGCGUGGCGCGAGAUCAGAGUGUAGAGCGCGAAAGUUCCACCUGGAGCAGAAGAAGGAAUCAUCAGUUUUGCUUGGGGUUCAAUUUGUUUGUUUGUUUGUUUGUUUGUUUGUUUUACGACUUUUCUUACGGCAGCUACGUACUGACUGUUGCGGUCUUCUGCGAUCACAUCUUACAGCCAAAGUCUUUUGGAUUUGGAUGGGUAUGGACUAAGCAACGGUGAAUGGAGGGAAAAGACUGAUGAAAGAGCAUGACAUUUCUGUAACCUAGCUAGCUGUUACAUGGUUAUUGGAGCCUCACAUACUAAGUUGGUCAGUAAUUCCAAACUCACAAUUCACUCAGAUAUGUAAUUACACCCAUCUCAGUCUCAGAUA
Sorghum bicolor (sorghum) is the source of this 1001-nucleotide long non-coding RNA. RefSeq lists it as uncharacterized. The record is from RefSeq and is a predicted model, not a curated record. The transcript has 3 exons. NCBI's taxonomy places the organism in Eukaryota, Viridiplantae, Streptophyta, Magnoliopsida, Poales, Poaceae.